This 465-nucleotide ribosomal RNA is filed under the name uncultured bacterium. Its description in RNAcentral is "partial 16S ribosomal RNA". It matches the Rfam family "Bacterial small subunit ribosomal RNA", at positions 28 to 507 of the family's 1533-position model. The record is from RNAcentral.
GACGAACGCUGGCGGCGUGCUUAACACAUGCAAGUCGUACGGUAAGGCCCUUUCGGGGGUACACGAGUGGCGAACGGGUGAGUAACACGUGAGUAACCUGCCCACAACUUUGGGAUAACGCUAGGAAACUGGUGCUAAUACUGGAUAUGUGCUCCUGCUGCAUGGUGGGGGUUGGAAAGCUCCGGCGGUUGUGGAUGGACUCGCGGCCUAUCAGCUUGUUGGUGGGGUAGUGGCCUACCAAGGCGGCGACGGGUAGCCGGCCUGAGAGGGUGACCGGCCACAUUGGGACUGAGAUACGGCCCAGACUCCUACGGGAGGCAGCAGUGGGGAAGAUUGCACAAUGGGCGCAAGCCUGAUGCAGCAACGCCGCGUGCGGGAUGACGGCCUUCGGGUUGGAAACCGCGUUCAGCAGGGACGAAGCUUUUUGUGACGGUACCUGCAGAAGAAGCACCGGCUAACUACGUG